This 497-nucleotide ribosomal RNA is filed under the name uncultured bacterium. RNAcentral describes it as "partial 16S ribosomal RNA". It matches the Rfam family "Bacterial small subunit ribosomal RNA", at positions 28 to 507 of the family's 1533-position model. The record is from RNAcentral.
GAUGAACGCUGGCGGCGUGCCUAAUACAUGCAAGUCGAGCGAACGGACGAGAAGCUUGCUUCUCUGAUGUUAGCGGCGGACGGGUGAGUAACACGUGGAUAACCUACCUAUAAGACUGGGAUAACUUCGGAAAACCGGAGCUAAUACCGGAUAAUAUUUUGAACCGCAUGGUUCAAAAGUGAAAGACGGUCUUGCUGUCACCUAUAGAUGGAUCCGCGCUGCAUUAGCUAGUUGGUAAGGUAACGGCUUACCAAGGCAACGAUGCAUAGCCGACCUGAGAGGGUGAUCGGCCACACUGGAACUGAGACACGGUCCAGACUCCUACGGGAGGCAGCAGUAGGGAAUCUUCCGCAAUGGGCGAAAGCCUGACGGAGCAACGCCGCGUGAGUGAUGAAGGUCUUCGGAUCGUAAAACUCUGUUAUUAGGGAAGAACAUAUGUGUAAGUAACUGUGCACAUCUUGACGGUACCUAAUCAGAAAGCCACGGCUAACUACGUG